RNAcentral lists this long non-coding RNA (2545 nucleotides) under Sus scrofa (pig). Its description in RNAcentral is "lncRNA (ENSSSCG00060045927.1)". The record is from RNAcentral. Lineage: Eukaryota; Metazoa; Chordata; Mammalia; Artiodactyla; Suidae.
AAUUUUCUCUAUUCUUUUCAUCUUCCCAGUUAUCAAUUUUCUGCUGCUUUUGUGCCAGGCUUGGAGCAGGACAUCCUCCUGAAGACUGUGAAUCCUCUCAGAGGGCUCCUCUCAAACCAGAGGACAAAGCAGUCAUCAGACUUGAGCAACAGCCCCCUCUUACCCCCACUUAUAGCACUGCAGGUGCUAAGGGAGAGGACUCCACCUUGAUCUCCUGAUCUCUAGCUCAGCUCUCUUUGCCCUCUUGUGUCCAGUUAGUGUCCUUCACUGAAUAGGGUCCAAGAACUAGAAAAGGCUGUCUUCUGGAGGCUCCUUUCAGCUUUCUUCUCCACCCAGAUGUCUCAGAUAAGAAAUUAUAAAGCCUAACUCAGGCAGAAAAUGAAGGAAGAGGGAAGAAGAAAAAGGAAAGAAGAGAUGUGUACAUUAAACAUAAAGUUUAUUUUUCUUUCUACUUCACACAGUGCUGCAAAGAACAAGAACUGCUGUAUCAAAGGUAACUGCAUUCACAGCUUUGCAAUGGUCACACUGCCAUCCAAGGAGGAACCAUCAAGAUGUGGAUACAAUCAACUCGGAAGAGCUCAGAGACCAGAGAAGAAAAAGCAAUCAACUCAAUCAACUCGGAAGAGCUCAGAGACCAGAGAAGAAAAAGCAAUCAACUCAAUCAACUCGGAAGAGCUCAGAGACCAGAGAAGAAAAAGAGGAGAAAGCUGAGCCCUAAGUUUGGAGGAAACGUCAACCUUUAAAUGGCUGCCUGCAACUGAAUAAACCCAAAGGAGACACACAGGAAGCAUCUUAGGGAAAAAGGAAAAAUCAGGCGGAAGUUGUGCCAGUAAAGUCAGGGGCAGAGGAAAGUGCUUUAGGAAGGAAAACUGUCAUUGGUGACACUUCGGUAUAAUAACCAAUGAGGAAGGCAGAUUGCUGUGUGCUGAGCAAUGGGUGGAUGGUAAGGAAGAGGAGAAAGCACAGAUCUUUUGAGAAAGCUGGUGUGAGUGGAAACAGCAAUGACGUCGAGGCAGCUGGUGAUAGACCCUAUAGGGCCUUGUUCACUUUGCUAGAAAAAUGGGGAUUUGCCCCAUUCUCAUUGUAAGCUAACACAUUUUUACACAGGAGUAUGAUAUAGUUGUUUUCUUAAAAUAGAUAAUUAAGUCUGGUAAGAGCGUGAAGUGGGUAGGCCAUGUUUGGGAAGGCACUGGCAGUGGGCAAUCUACUUAGUAGCUUGAGUCUGUUGCCACAAUCCAUGUUAGAGAGGGCAGGGCAGAAUACCAUUUAAACAAGGAUGUUAGAAUAAAGGAAACAGAAAGUCUGUUUUCUCAUACUUUGUCCUCACGUCCUUACACCAAAUCUUCAUUUCCAUCUACAUAAGAUACUAAAUUUAAAACAAUCCCUAUAGAGGAGUCUUUUUUCCCUUAAGGGAUUUUAAAAUGAAGAAUGAUGUUCUCAGUAAAAUAAUCGUGGAAAGAAGUACAGCAGUUUUAAAAAAGAACCAGUGGGAAAUAAAAAUAAUUAACUUUCAAAAUUCGAGGAAAGAAAACCACUGACAGAUUCUCAGUCACUCAGGAUUUAGGUUCAUUUCCCUUUAAUAGGUUGUUUACCAAAGGAACAAAACUAUGAUACUCACAUUUCAAUACUUUAAUGAAUUAAUAUCUAUUCUAAAUUAAGCAAACAAAAUGCUUUCUUUUAAUUGACACAGAAAGUACAUAGCUCUUAGAAUUCUUCAUGUAUUCCUCUUUAUAAUAAAUAAUGGAGCAACUAAAAAUCAUAGUCUAAAUAAAAUCAUGCUUUCCUGUUUGAUUAAAGCGUAAAAACUUUGAAAUGAUUAACCAUAAUAAGUAAUAAAAAAAAUCCACUCCAAGUAUGUUUUCUGUUUUUUUCCUUUAGCUUUCCCCUAGACAAUUUCCCAUAACACUAGGACAUGUCAAAAACACUUCUGAAAAUUGACAGUGUUUUAGAAUUAAUGAACUACAUUCCAGAAAUAUAAAUUUGACUUAGCUAAAGGGCAUAAAAAUAAAAUUUUCAAGAUGAGCCCAAAUGAUCUAGAAUUGAGGUAAAACAAAUAAAGCAGAGAAUAAAUGUACAUGUUAUGAUGUAAAAUAUGAAGGUUAUUAUAUAUUUAAGAAUUUUACCUUCUUAGUAUCAACAUAUGAUGCCAGCCCCUGUCAACAAGACAUUCAAGUUCCAUUGCAAUAGUGGACAUGGAUUUUUACUGACACUCCUCAGAAAGGUAGAAGGCAAGGUAAAUAGUAUUAUAUUAUUUAAGAGACAAAAACGGUUUAAGAAUAGGGAAAGUGUGAUAGAAAGAGAAUAGAUUCUGUGGGAGGUUUUUUUGUGCUUAAUAAGAUGACCAAAAUAUUGACAUGAAUUUUGAUUUAAAAAUCUAUUGUCUCCCUUGGAAGUCAUUAAAAAUGAAAAAAAUCAAUCAUUUGCAGGAUGUUGGAACAGUUGGAAGGUUUCUACUGCUAACUGACAUCUGUGAAGUUGUCAAGGGUAAAAAAAUUAAGUGGCUGAACAAAAUUGUAUUGUUAAUAUGGCUGAAUGUUCCAUUUCA